GCAGUAGCCGCGGUAAUACAGAGGGUGCGAGCGUUAAUCGGAUUUACUGGGCGUAAAGCGUGCGUAGGCGGCUUCUUAAGUCGGAUGUGAAAUCCCUGAGCUUAACUUAGGAAUUGCAUUCGAUACUGGGAAGCUAGAGUAUGGGAGAGGAUGGUAGAAUUCCAGGUGUAGCGGUGAAAUGCGUAGAGAUCUGGAGGAAUACCGAUGGCGAAGGCAGCCAUCUGGCCUAAUACUGACGCUGAGGUACGAAAGCAUGGGGAGCAAACAGGAUUAGAUACCCGUGUAGUCCUUGUCUCUUAUAC
This 302-nucleotide ribosomal RNA is filed under the name uncultured bacterium. Its description in RNAcentral is "partial 16S ribosomal RNA". It matches the Rfam family "Bacterial small subunit ribosomal RNA", at positions 508 to 807 of the family's 1533-position model. The record is from RNAcentral.